AUGGUGUCUACCAAAGAAGCAAACAUGCCUGCUUGUCUUCGUUACAGGGGUGAUGUCCGAAUCAUCUUUGCAUCUGUCAUUACAGGGACACUGUCCCCUGAAAUUUGCAUCAGCACUAAAAUUUGUGCUGAUGAGAAAACAAUGUAUGUGAAACAGUUGGCAAAAUUUUGUUGUAUUGUCCAUAGAGCAAAUGCUCAGCAAAAACUUUAUGGAGGAAAUGCUGUGCUGAUUGGCAGUGGUUGCCUUUGUAACUUGUCACAUUGUAACAUCAGCAAAGAUGCGGAUAGUGUUGUUUAUGCAUUUUAUUCGUGUCUUUUUUUCGACCCAAUGCCUCCAUUCUUGUUCUGUUUUUCAGAGGCAGAUACCAUUAGCAGUUGGGUUUGUUUCUUUUUUGUUUUGAGAAAAACAAUCGAUGGAGGGAGCAGUUCUGAUUUGGCUGACAGAUUGCAUUGUGAUUGUGCUCUGUAUAUAUCACUCUGCAUCAAUGAAUUCCCAUGCUGA
RNAcentral lists this ribosomal RNA (501 nucleotides) under Triticum aestivum (bread wheat). Its description in RNAcentral is "partial small subunit ribosomal RNA". The record is from RNAcentral. Lineage: Eukaryota; Viridiplantae; Streptophyta; Magnoliopsida; Poales; Poaceae.